RNAcentral lists this ribosomal RNA (492 nucleotides) under uncultured bacterium. RNAcentral's name for it is "partial 16S ribosomal RNA". It matches the Rfam family "Bacterial small subunit ribosomal RNA", at positions 29 to 507 of the family's 1533-position model. The record is from RNAcentral.
AGUGAACGCUGGCGGUAGGCCUAACACAUGCAAGUCGAACGGCAGCACAGUAAGAGCUUGCUCUUACGGGUGGCGAGUGGCGGACGGGUGAGGAAUACAUCGGAAUCUACUUUUUCGUGGGGGAUAACGUAGGGAAACUUACGCUAAUACCGCAUACGACCUACGGGUGAAAGCAGGGGAUCUUCGGACCUUGCGCGAUUGAAUGAGCCGAUGUCGGAUUAACUAGUUGGCGGGGUAAAGGCCCACCAAGGCGACGAUCCGUAGCUGGUCUGAGAGGAUGAUCAGCCACACUGGAACUGAGACACGGUCCAGACUCCUACGGGAGGCAGCAGUGGGGAAUAUCGGACAAUGGGCGCAAGCCUGAUCCAGCCAUACCGCGUGGGUGAAGAAGGCCUUCGGGUUGUAAAGCCCUUUUGUUGGGAAAGAAAAGCAGCAGGUUAAUACCCCGCUGUUCUGACGGUACCCAAAGAAUAAGCACCGGCUAACUUCGUG